ACAGAUCUUCAAAGUAAGCAGGGCUUCCAGAAUCCUGAAAGUAAAAAAUGGAACAUUGAUAUGACAUUGAUGUGACUUAAAGUGUGCUGAAGCCAUUAAAUCCACCCUGUACUUCCAUUUGGGUGUCAGGCCAAAUGAAUAUGAAGGAAUUUUAGUGGACGAUAAAUGGAGGAGUUUGUUGGUUCUAGCAGAUAACAUAAGUGAACAAUUGCAGAAUGGAGAUGUAAGACGGUGAACCAAUGAGAAGCUGCAAUGUUAAUGAUGGUCUGUUUAUUAAGACCACUCUGAAUUAAAGAUUAUCUGUUGAUGCUCAUCACAAAGAUAUAAAAGUUUUCAUACAUGUGUUUGUACCAGUAUGGGUUAAUAACAGUGGUGUGACUUGCCCCAUAUUCUCUAUUCAGAAGGCUUUGGAAGGUAAUGUAGCUCUAGACAUUCCAGGAUACGGCAUCACUGUAUAUCUGUGUCCUGGUGAUAUGUGUCCUGGUUAGUGCUUACUGCGCAUGAGAGAUAGGAAUUAUUCAUGUAUCAGCCAGUGCUUAGUACCAAGACUGUAACUUAAUAUGGGUUUAACAGACUGCAGCCACCGCCCAGAAUCCAGUUUAUAUAACAGGUCCCUGUACAAUAGUGUCUGCUUCAAUUGAGAACCUGAGACUGUAGUACAGCGUUUUUCAACCGCUGUGCCGCGGCGCACUAGUGUGCCGCCAGCGGUUCUGAGAUGUGCCGCCAGAGAUGCCCGCUGCAU
Molecule: long non-coding RNA, 742 nt
Organism: Pseudophryne corroboree (corroboree frog)
Lineage: Eukaryota; Metazoa; Chordata; Amphibia; Anura; Myobatrachidae
Exons: 3
Source: RefSeq, a predicted model, not a curated record